RNAcentral lists this ribosomal RNA (253 nucleotides) under uncultured bacterium. RNAcentral describes it as "partial 16S ribosomal RNA". It matches the Rfam family "Bacterial small subunit ribosomal RNA", at positions 524 to 776 of the family's 1533-position model. The record is from RNAcentral.
UACGAAGGGGGCUAGCGUUGCUCGGAAUCCCUGGGCGUAAAGCGCACGUAGGCGGAUCUUUAAGUCGGGGGUGAAAUCCUGGAGCUCAACUCCAGAACUGCCUUCGAUACUGGGGAUCUUGAGUCCGAGAGAGGUGAGUGGAACUCCGAGUGUAGAGGUGAAAUUCGUAGAUAUUCGGAAGAACACCAGUGGCGAAGGCGGCUCACUGGCUCGGUACUGACGCUGAGGUGCGAAAGCGUGGGGAGCGAACAGG